RNAcentral lists this ribosomal RNA (292 nucleotides) under uncultured eukaryote. Its description in RNAcentral is "partial 18S ribosomal RNA". It matches the Rfam family "Eukaryotic small subunit ribosomal RNA", at positions 6 to 301 of the family's 1831-position model. The record is from RNAcentral.
GGUUGAUCCUGCCAGUAGUCAUAUGCUUGUCUCAAAGAUUAAGCCAUGCAUGUCUAAGUACAAACCUUUAUAUGGUGAAACCGCGAAUGGCUCAUUAAAUCAGUUACGGUUCAUUGGAUGUUGAGCUAUUACAUGGAUAACUGUGGUAAUUCUAGAGCUAAUACCUGCCGGACUGCCGCGCAAGCGGUGCAUUUAUUAGACCAAGACCAAGGAGGCAGCAAUGUCUCUGUCGGUGGUGACUCUGGAUAACUUUGGCUGACCGCAUGGCCUUGUGCCGGCGGCGUUUCCUUCG